AUGAAGUUGACACAAGAGAAAACAGCACAGUCGCCAAACACCAUUUCUGUAUCCCUCACUUCUCAGCAGAUCUACAGGCUCCUAGCACUCUCCCUUUGGGAUUCCAGGGUUUGGUUUGGAGAAAUGUAAUAUGACUGAAGUCUGCUGGCUAUGAGAGGAAAGCUUCUCAUCAGAUUUAGAACUGUGAGCACACCAUUGAAUAUAUCCAAGCAACAGGAGGAAUAUUCUUCAUGAGCUACUUAUAUAAAAUGUAAGUAUGAAAAAGAAUUCUGUAUGAAAUGUGCCAGAGAAAAAGACUAAGAAUGUGGCUCUUUGAUAGCAUGGGAAUCAAAUGGUUUAUUUUUAAUCCAGAAUUCACUUGCUAGUUCUGUGACCUAUUUGUGUCUCAGCAUCCUCAUCCAAAAAAUGGGCUUAACAGUAGUAGUUAUUGUACAGGAUAAUGGCAAGAAUUCAAGGAUUCACACAGAGCACUUAGCACACUGCCUGCU
This 488-nucleotide long non-coding RNA is filed under the name Oryctolagus cuniculus (rabbit). RNAcentral's name for it is "lncRNA (ENSOCUG00000038075.1)". The record is from RNAcentral. Lineage: Eukaryota; Metazoa; Chordata; Mammalia; Lagomorpha; Leporidae.